UGCCUAGUCACUCUCACUAGCGCCCUGCC
Molecule: non-coding RNA, 29 nt
Filed under: Rattus norvegicus (Norway rat)
Lineage: Eukaryota; Metazoa; Chordata; Mammalia; Rodentia; Muridae
Source: RNAcentral